Molecule: ribosomal RNA, 388 nt
Filed under: Staphylococcus epidermidis
Lineage: Bacteria; Bacillati; Bacillota; Bacilli; Caryophanales; Staphylococcaceae
Description: bacterial LSU rRNA
Rfam family: Bacterial large subunit ribosomal RNA
Source: RNAcentral
UAAAAGGUAACGGAGGCGCUCAAAGGUUCCCUCAGAAUGGUUGGAAAUCAUUCAUAGAGUGUAAAGGCAUAAGGGAGCUUGACUGCGAGACCUACAAGUCGAGCAGGGUCGAAAGACGGACUUAGUGAUCCGGUGGUUCCGCAUGGAAGGGCCAUCGCUCAACGGAUAAAAGCUACCCCGGGGAUAACAGGCUUAUCUCCCCCAAGAGUUCACAUCGACGGGGAGGUUUGGCACCUCGAUGUCGGCUCAUCGCAUCCUGGGGCUGUAGUCGGUCCCAAGGGUUGGGCUGUUCGCCCAUUAAAGCGGUACGCUAGCUGGGUUCAGAACGUCGUGAGACAGUUCGGUCCCUAUCCGUCGUGGGCGUAGGAAAUUUGAGAGGAGCUGUCCU